AUGGGAAAGGGUGGAGAGCUCCUUCCAAGUUGGUAUAAAAUCCUUUUAUGGAUGGUUUCCUCUUGGGAUGGGGGGUUGUCCCUGCCUACCUGCCUUCCAACCAUCCUUCAUCAAAUACCUUUAGAAAUAAGUGAAGGCCCUGAAUUUCAGCUGGAACAUGUCUGCCCAGAAUGGAGCCUUCAUUUCAGCUUCCAUUGCAGAUUACUUUGUGACCCUCUAUUUCAAUACAUCAUUGAUAAUUGCACUGAAUUGGAGCUAAUGGGAGACAGAGAAGCUGAAAGUGUGGUGUUCGAAGUUAGAGGUGGGUAAACACAGCCCUUUCACUUGAAGUAGUUGAUGGAGCUUUGGAAGUACAGUCUUCAAACCUGACUGCCAAGUGAUCCACUCUCAACAUAUCCCUCGGUUUAUCUUCAGCUCUUCAGGCACUAGGCAGUAUUUACGGGCAAAUCAAAACAAAAUGAGUGUCCUUGAUUUUUCAAGUAUGGAUACAUUUAGAUGAUUCUUUGAAAUUUGUUCUUAUCGGUUUGUAUUGAUAAAACUUUUUAAGAGAAAAAGCAACUUGAGUAAAGAUUUUGAUAUCAGUCUUUUUCUGAGUGAAGCAUUUAUGUCAAUCUAAGGGGAAGAAAGUGUUCGGAGGCUCGUCUUAAAAGGCUAGAUAGGAACCCAGUGCCAUUUGGUGCUAGGCCCCACUGACAGAUUUACUGCCUGCUUGGAGCUGCGGCUGCAGUGUGAUGGGAGUGGCAGGUGAGGGCCGCAAAGAAGAGGAUUCCCAUGCUCCGUGUAUAUGUGUAACUGGCGCAUCCAGGGUCAUGGAGGGGCAGGCCUGUGUUUACAGUCAGGAUUUGUGGUGAAAAAAAAAGUUAUUUUUCUCUUAUUCCUUAUAGCAAAGAACUCUCCACAUUUCUUGGCUAGGAGACAUUUCCAAAUGACCAAACCAAAAGACAAGCAUGAGGCUUUAGAAAUGGGGAAAUGAUUCUUCCUUAGGCAAGUUCUAUAGUGUGGAAAAAAGUCACAAAUGCCCCCAAAUUAAACUAAUCUUCCCCCUCCCCCUGUUAAAUAAAAGACAUUUGAUGUAAAUUAAUGGCAGUUAGGGCAUGGAUAUGAUGUCUCCUGUAAGUAGCAGGCUGUGCAGAAUUUUGAACUUAGUUCAUAAUGAAUUAAACAUCAGUCUAAAAACUAUCCUAGGUAAUUGCUAGAGACCUACUACGGAAGUGCAGUAAUGCUACCUGAAUGUAAUAUGAAUGGUAAAUGCAUCUAGUUCAGACAGAAAAAGGACUAUUUCAGUAAGUGGAAUUAUAGAUUCAAAGUAUUUUACAGACAGAGGAUUGUGUGUAAGUGUGGAUAGGCUGAAAUUGGAGCUAACGUGCCAGUGCAAAGAGAAUUCUCCCCAAACGGUGUUGGAAAGCACUUUUUUCAGUCUGUGUUAGCACUUUUUGUGUGUGUGUGUGUGAGAGAGAGAGACAGAGAGAGGGAGAGAGAAGAGAGCGUGUGUGCAAGCCAGCAGGGGGAGGGGCAGGGGGAGAGAGAGAAUCUUAAGUAGGCUCUAUGCUCAGUGUGGAGCCAGACUUGGGGCUCUAUCUCAUGACCCUGAAAUCAUGACCUAAAGAUCAAAAUCAAGUCAAACACUUAACUGAGUAAACCACCCGAGCACUCCAGUAUGCGUUAACAUUCUAAGAUGCUCUAUACACUAUUUACUUUCUGAAAAAAAGAAUAAUUUGACCCAAUUAAUUAGGGAACAUCUUUACCCCCCACCCACUAUUUAAACAUAUCUUCAAUAUUUAGAGUUGGUAAUUUGGUAACUAAGUUGAUAACUAAUCAACUGGAAGUUAAAAAUACCUUCAAUACUUUAAAUUGGUAGCUAAUUAGGGAACAAAUUGUUCGAAAUAAUUGUGUAGUCAAAUUUGCUGGUAACUAUUCUGUUACAGAUACCAAAUGUCUUAAUCCUAGUUUCUUUUUUUUUUAAACAAAUUUAUUUAUUUAUUCAUGAGAGACACAAAGAGAGGCAGACACAGGCAAAGGGAGAAGCAGGCGCCGUGCGAGGAGCCUGAUGUGGGACUCAAUCCUAGGACCCCGGGAUCACGACCUGAGCCAAAGGCAGAUGCUCAACCACUGAGCCACCCAGGUAUCUUAAUCCUAAUUUCUUUAUUUUAAUUAUCAGUUGCUAGAUUACCUGAUCCUGUCAGGCAUCCACCAGAUCUCAUUUCUUUCUGAAUCCUUAGUACCCAGCCUGGAACUUGUCUCAUAGAUGCUUAGUGAGUGCGUAUUAAAUCUGUGUUUAAAAGGAAACUUCUUGGGCACUUGUGCCACUGCAUUUGUUCUUUCGAAUCCUGAACACCUAAAGCGAUUUUCACUUUGUGGUGCACUUAAAAUGUUUAUGUUUGCUUUGAUGUGCCUGGAGAAGCAGUAGUACUGAUUUUGCUUGCUGAUAGGUGGAUGUGUUUGUGGCAGGGUGCAUUUUGAAAUCAUUUGAUAAUAAUAAGGAACUGCUGCUAGGAAUGGGAGUAUGCAGAGCAGCUGAGUUAAGUUUUAAUGAACUUUUAUAUUUAACACUUGGAGUGUAUAUCUUGGUGUGGUAGGCAGGGAUAUUACAAGUUAAUGAGUUAUGAAGAAAUUCCUGGAUGCAGAAGAAAAAGACCUAGACCAAUAACUUAGGGAAACUCAAUUGAGCUAUCUCUCGCUUAGGGUCUGUAAUAAAAAAACAAAACAAACAAACAAAAAAAACAACUAACUUGGC
This 2734-nucleotide long non-coding RNA is filed under the name Canis lupus familiaris (dog). Its description in RNAcentral is "lncRNA (ENSCAFG00000053223.1)". The record is from RNAcentral. Lineage: Eukaryota; Metazoa; Chordata; Mammalia; Carnivora; Canidae.